UUCCAAUCUUAGUAACCAGAAAUCCUUUGACUCCUAUAAAGUUAAAAUCAUAUUCAUCAAUCAAUUUUAGAAAAUUACUAAACUAAUCAUUUAUAUCCAAAUUACAUAAUAUCAUUCGAAUACUUAGCUCUUUGAUUAUAACUUCUUUGCCUCUUUUCUUUAUCUUUCUUCACGUAGCUACAUAUUUAUCUUUUUCAUUCACGAGAAAAUCUACUAUAUCACACUUACACCAUAUUAUUAAUAGUCGACUAAUCAUAUUUCUCUUAUGAGAGAAAAGUACAAUAAUAAUAUUUUUUUAUAAUCAUAAUGGGAUGAGUAAAUUAAAAAAAAUAUUUUUUUAUAAUCAUGAUGGGAUGAGUAAAUUUUAAAAAAUAAUAUAAUUGGCUAGAAAUGUCGCAUCAGCAAUAUAAAAAAAUAUAUUCUAGAUUUUUUUUCUUUUAUUUAUUAUAUAUAUAUAUAUAUAUAUAUAUAUAUAUAUAUAUAUUAUGGAAAACAUAAAA
Molecule: long non-coding RNA, 500 nt
Filed under: Ananas comosus (pineapple)
Lineage: Eukaryota; Viridiplantae; Streptophyta; Magnoliopsida; Poales; Bromeliaceae
Description: long non-coding RNA (ACOM_LNC015686)
Source: RNAcentral